This 429-nucleotide ribosomal RNA is filed under the name uncultured archaeon. Its description in RNAcentral is "bacterial SSU rRNA". It matches the Rfam family "Archaeal small subunit ribosomal RNA", at positions 474 to 903 of the family's 1478-position model. The record is from RNAcentral.
CACCAGCCCCUCGAGUGGUGGGGAUGAUAAUUUGGCCUAAAGCGUCCGUAGCCGGCCGGGUAAGUUUCCCGUUAAAUCCAGCGUCUCAAGCGUUGGACUGCGGGAAAUACUGCCUGGCUAGAGAGUGGGAGAGGUGUACGGUAUUCUGGGGGUAGGGGCGAAAUCCUUUGAUCCCCGGAGGACCACCAGUGGCGAAGGCUGUACACUAGAACACGUCUGACGGUCAGGGACGAAAGCUGGGGUAGCGAACCGGAUUAGAUACCCGGGUAGUCCCAGCUGUAAACGAUGCAUGCUAGGUGUUGGGUUGGCCACGAGCCACCCCAGUGCCGCAGGGAAGCCGUUAAGCAUGCCGCCUGGGAAGUACGAUCGCAAGAUUGAAACUUAAAGGAAUUGGCGGGGGAGCACCACCAGGCGUGAAGCCUGCGGUUU